RNAcentral lists this non-coding RNA (191 nucleotides) under Staphylococcus aureus. Its description in RNAcentral is "6S RNA". It matches the Rfam family "6S / SsrS RNA". Rfam says of the family: E. coli 6S RNA was the first non coding RNA to be sequenced, but its function was unknown until recently. It consists of 184 nucleotides that fold into an extended hairpin structure with a large single-stranded internal bulge. Lineage: Bacteria; Bacillati; Bacillota; Bacilli; Caryophanales; Staphylococcaceae. The record is from RNAcentral.
AGUCAUCUGAGUUGUUCGUAAGUUUGCUUUUUAAUUUGGGCCUAACACUCUUUGAUCAAGGGAGCCCAAUGGGUUUUCUUGCAGCGUACAUGCCUUAUAUGAAGGACGUACAAAACAAGAAACAGGGCACCCACCUGUAUAUAACAGGCCGAAUGAUCAAGCUAUUAUAACUACGGCAAUACGGACUCUAU